CAGUCGCCACGGUAAUACGUAGGGUGCAAGCGUUAUCCGGAAUUAUUGGGCGUAAAGAGCUCGUAGGCGGUUUGUCGCGUCUGUCGUGAAAGUCCGGGGCUCAACUCCGGAUCUGCGGUGGGUACGGGCAGACUAGAGUGAUGUAGGGGAGACUGGAAUUCCUGGUGUAGCGGUGGAAUGCGCAGAUAUCAGGAGGAACACCGAUGGCGAAGGCAGGUCUCUGGGCAUUAACUGACGCUGAGGAGCGAAAGCAUGGGGAGCGAACAGGAUUAGAUACCCGAGUAGUCCCUGUCUCUUAUAC
This 301-nucleotide ribosomal RNA is filed under the name uncultured bacterium. RNAcentral describes it as "partial 16S ribosomal RNA". It matches the Rfam family "Bacterial small subunit ribosomal RNA", at positions 509 to 807 of the family's 1533-position model. The record is from RNAcentral.